RNAcentral lists this microRNA precursor (96 nucleotides) under Solanum lycopersicum (tomato). RNAcentral's name for it is "mir-156 microRNA precursor family". It matches the Rfam family "mir-156 microRNA precursor family". Rfam says of the family: This family represents the plant microRNA (miRNA) precursor mir-156. Animal miRNAs are transcribed as ~70nt precursors and subsequently processed by the Dicer enzyme to give a ~22nt product. The record is from Rfam by way of RNAcentral. RNAcentral also lists the same sequence under 1 other name. Lineage: Eukaryota; Viridiplantae; Streptophyta; Magnoliopsida; Solanales; Solanaceae.
GUGACAGAAGAGAGUGAGCACACAUGGCGUUUUCUGGCAUGAUGUUUAUAUAUAUAUAUGCUUGAAACUAUGUGUGCUCACUGCUCUAUCUGUCAC